GGAGAUGUCGCCUAGUCUGGUUUAUGGCGCCCGCCUGCUAAGCGGGUUGAGGUUUUAAGACCUCUCGAGGGUUCAAAUCCCUCCAUCUCCGCCA
Molecule: transfer RNA, 94 nt
Filed under: Micrococcales bacterium
Lineage: Bacteria; Bacillati; Actinomycetota; Actinomycetes; Micrococcales
Description: tRNA-Ser
Rfam family: tRNA
About the family: Transfer RNA (tRNA) molecules are approximately 80 nucleotides in length. Their secondary structure includes four short double-helical elements and three loops (D, anti-codon, and T loops).
Source: RNAcentral